AGCAGUAGCCGCGGUAAAACGUAGGGUGCAAGCGUUAAUCGGAAUUACUGGGCGUAAAGCGUGCGCAGGCGGUUAUAUAAGUCAGAUGUGAAAUCCCCGGGCUCAACCUGGGAACUGCAUUUGAGACUGUAUGGCUAGGGUGUGUCAGAAGGGGGGUAGAAUUCCACGUGUAGCAGUGAAAUGCAUAGAUAUGUGGAGGAAUACCGAUGGCGAAGGCAGCCCCCUGGGAUAACACUGACGCUCAUGCACGAAAGCGUGGGGAGCAAACAGGAUUAGAUACCCCCGUAGUCCCUGUCUCUUAUU
RNAcentral lists this ribosomal RNA (303 nucleotides) under uncultured bacterium. RNAcentral describes it as "partial 16S ribosomal RNA". It matches the Rfam family "Bacterial small subunit ribosomal RNA", at positions 507 to 808 of the family's 1533-position model. The record is from RNAcentral.